GGGGAAUAUUGGACAAUGGGCGCAAGCCUGAUCCAGCCAUGCCGCGUGUGUGAAGAAGGUCUUCGGAUUGUAAAGCACUUUAAGUUGGGAGGAAGGUCAGUAACCUAAUACGUUGCUGAUUUGACGUUACCGACAGAAUAAGCACCGGCUAACUCUGUGCCAGCAGCCGCGGUAAUACAGAGGGUGCAAGCGUUAAUCGGAAUUACUGGGCGUAAAGCGCGCGUAGGUGGUUAUGUAAGUUGGAUGUGAAAUCCCCGGGCUCAACCUGGGAACUGCAUCCAAAACUGCAUAGCUAGAGUACGGUAGAGGGUGGUGGAAUUUCCUGUGUAGCGGUGAAAUGCGUAGAUAUAGGAAGGAACACCAGUGGCGAAGGCGACCACCUGGACUGAUACUGACACUGAGGUGCGAAAGCGUGGGGAGCAAAC
This 425-nucleotide ribosomal RNA is filed under the name uncultured bacterium. Its description in RNAcentral is "bacterial SSU rRNA". It matches the Rfam family "Bacterial small subunit ribosomal RNA", at positions 356 to 773 of the family's 1533-position model. The record is from RNAcentral.